GGAUGUGAGGGCUAUCUGGCUGUGAUAUCUGUCACCCCAUUGAUCGCCAGUGUUGAUUUGGCUGAUCUGGCUGGCUAGGUGAGUGUCCCCUUCCUCCUUCACUACCUCAUGUGUGUCCCUCCCGAAGCUGCACACUUGGUCGAAGAGGAUGAGCUUCCUGGAAUAGAGGAGGAUUGGGCUUUGGCCAGGUGGAUACAAGUAGCUGUGCUGCCCUGCUAGAACCCCCCAAAAUAUUUAUAUGUAUGUUUGCCUGCAUGAGUUAUGUGCACCAUGUGCAUGCAGGAGCCCACAGAGGCCAGAAUAGGGCACGGGAUCCCCU
RNAcentral lists this small nuclear RNA (319 nucleotides) under Mus caroli (Ryukyu mouse). RNAcentral's name for it is "sRNA (MGP_CAROLIEiJ_G0008751.1)". It matches the Rfam family "7SK RNA". From Rfam's summary of the family: 7SK was discovered as an abundant small nuclear RNA in the mid-70s but a possible function has only recently been suggested. Two independent studies have found that 7SK RNA binds the CDK9/cyclin T complex (known as elongation factor P-TEFb). Lineage: Eukaryota; Metazoa; Chordata; Mammalia; Rodentia; Muridae. The record is from RNAcentral.